RNAcentral lists this long non-coding RNA (1085 nucleotides) under Marmota monax (woodchuck). The record is from RNAcentral. Lineage: Eukaryota; Metazoa; Chordata; Mammalia; Rodentia; Sciuridae.
GUUCCUACAUUCAUGGUGUCCUGCAGGAGGAGGAGAAAGAAGAGAAGGUGGACACUCCGCAGGGUAUCCUGUCUGCUUUUCUGAAAGAAGAUUCCUUCCUUAAUAUCUGCAGGGAGAUUGUGAACGAUGGACUGAAACUCAGUAUGCUGUCACCAAAGUGGGAAAAAAAAAAAAAAAAAGAUGAGGUACAGGCCAUUGCCACCCGCAUUGAGAAGCAGGCACAGAUUGUGUGGAAGCCCAGGAUGGUGUCAGAAGAGGAAAAACAGAAAAGCUGCCCUGUGGGCCCAGUGUGCUGAUGUAAAAACUGGAGAGGACUCUGUUUCCAAACACCAAUGUAGAAGAUGUCCUCAAUGCUCAGAAAUUGCAGAGAGACUUACUUCGGGAUGAGUCCCAAAGGAAGAAGGAACAGGACAGGCUGCAGAGGGAGAGAGACCAACUAGCCAAGCUGGAGCUCAAGGAAAAGGAAAAGAAAAGGACACAGAGAGGGGAGCGAAAGCUAUAACCCUGGCCUGUUCAAAUCUUCCCCUGCUUCAAGAAUUUGAUGAAUGGGAAAACUGGUUUUCAAAUGUGUGUUUAAGAGAAAUGAGGAGAACAUUGCAUAGUUAAUUCCCAAGGCAUUUCCCUUUGUUUACAUGAUCAAUAGGAAAAUCAGAAUCACUUUUGCUUACAAAAUGUGCCAUGUUGUGGUGGUGUGAGCGAUCAGAUUAUUAUAGUGGAUGUCUGUACCAAAGAGCAGCAAUUGGUACAGCAAUUUAUUUUUAAUAAUGAAGUCCUGUGCUCUUUUAGGCUCCUGUUUUUACAAAAUGUCUUCCCUCACCUUCCCUCACCUUCAAUAAAUUUUCCUUGGAUAAAAUAGCAGGAUUCAGAAAGCUAACAGUUACCGUUUUCAUCUGGGAGAAGAAACAUGAUCAUUCCUCUGAGAUGAAAAGUGUGAGUACAAAUUACUUUAGAGGCAAUAUUUACUCCUAAAUGUAGUUUAGUUCUAUGGCUGAUAUAUAGAGCUAAUUAGGGAGCCAGGUAGGGUGGUGCACACCUGUAAUCCCAGCUCCUAGGGAGGCUGAAGCAGGAGGAUCACAAGUUUAAGG